RNAcentral lists this ribosomal RNA (1332 nucleotides) under uncultured bacterium. Its description in RNAcentral is "bacterial SSU rRNA". It matches the Rfam family "Bacterial small subunit ribosomal RNA". The record is from RNAcentral.
AGAGUUUGAUCAUGGCUCAGAACGUACGCUGGCGGCACGCCUAACACAUGCAAGUCGAACGAAGUAGCAAUACUUAGUGGCAGACGGGUGAGUAACAUGUGGGUAUCUGCCCUUUGGCCUGGAAUAACACGAGGAAACUUGUGCUAAUACUGGAUAAGUCUUUACGGAGAAAGCUUUAUGCACCAUUGGAUGAGCCCGCACUUGAUUAGUUUGUUGGUGGGGUAAUGGCCUACCAAGACUGUGAUCAAUAGCUGAUUUGAGAGGAUGAUCAGCCACAUUGGGACUGAGACACGGCCCAAACUCCUACGGGAGGCAGCAGUGGGGAAUCUUGCACAAUGGAGGAAACUCUGAUGCAGCGAUGCCGCGUGAGUGAAGAAGGCCCUUGGGUUGUAAAGCUCUUUCGUCGGGGAAGAAAAUGACUGUACCCGAAUAAGAAGGUCCGGCUAACUUCGUGCCAGCAGCCGCGGUAAUACGAAGGGACCUAGCGUAGUUCGGAAUUACUGGGCUUAAAGAGUUCGUAGGUGGUUGAAAAAGUUGGUGGUGAAAUCCCAGAGCUUAACUCUGGAACUGCCAUCAAAACUUUUCAGCUAGAGUUUGAUAGAGGAAAGCAGAAUUUCUAGUGUAGAGGUGAAAUUCGUAGAUAUUAGAAAGAAUACCAAUUGCGAAGGCAGCUUUCUGGAUCAUUACUGACACUGAGGAACGAAAGCAUGGGUAGCGAAGAGGAUUAGAUACCCUCGUAGUCCAUGCCGUAAACGAUGUGUGUUAGACGUUGGAAAUUUAUUUUCAGUGUCGCAGCGAAAGCGAUAAACACACCGCCUGGGGAGUACGACCGCAAGGUUAAAACUCAAAUGAAUUGACGGGGACCCGCACAAGUAGUGGAGCAUGUGGUUUAAUUCGAAGAUACGCGCAGAACCUUACCAACACUUGACAUGUUCGUCGCGACUUUAAGAGAUUAAAGUUUUCGGUUCGGCCGGACGAAACACAGGUGCUGCAUGGCUGUCGUCAGCUCGUGUCGUGAGAUGUUGGGUUAAGUCCCGCAACGAGCGCAACCCUCACUUUUAGUUGCCAUCAUUUAGUUGGGCACUCUGAAAGAACUGCCAGUGAUAAGCUGGAGGAAGGUGGGGAUGACGUCAAGUCCUCAUGGCCCUUACGUGUUGGGCUACACACGUGCUACAAUGGUAUCUACAACAGGAAGCGAAACAGCGAUGUUAAGCAAAUCCUUAAAAGAUACCUCAGUUCGGAUUGCACUCUGCAACUCGAGUGCAUGAAGCUGGAAUUACUAGUAAUCGUGGAUCAGCGUGCCACGGUGAAUGCGUUCCCGGGUCUUGUAGA